Molecule: ribosomal RNA, 437 nt
Filed under: Criconema sphagni
Lineage: Eukaryota; Metazoa; Nematoda; Chromadorea; Rhabditida; Criconematidae
Description: bacterial SSU rRNA
Rfam family: Eukaryotic small subunit ribosomal RNA
Source: RNAcentral
CGGGUCGGUGGGUCCCGGAAAAAUCGGGGGAGAUGGAAAGGCUGAACUUAAGGAAUUGACGGAAGGGCCCCCAGGUGUGCUGCGGUUAAUUUGACUCAACACGGGAAAACUCACCCGGCCCGACACCGUGGUUGACAGAUUGAUAGCUUUUUCAUGAUUCGGUGGUUGGGUGGUGCAUGGCCUUCUUAGUUCGUGGAUCGAUUUGUCUGGUUUAUUCCGAUAACGAGCGAGACUCCAGCCUACUAAAUAGUGCGGGCAUUGCUUCUUCUCGCAUUCUUAGAGGGAUUGGCUGCGUCUAGCGGCACGAACGGAGCAAUAACAGUUGUGAUGCCCUUAGAUGUCGGGGCUCACCCCUAACUGGCAAGGCAGCGUGCUCCUCAAGGAGUGUAAACCUUGAAAUUUGCCGUGAUUGGCGAAAUUGCAUUAUUUCCGGAACG